Molecule: ribosomal RNA, 494 nt
Filed under: uncultured bacterium
Lineage: Bacteria
Description: partial 16S ribosomal RNA
Rfam family: Bacterial small subunit ribosomal RNA
Source: RNAcentral
AUGCACGCUGGCGGCGUGCCUCAUCCAUGCCAGUCGAGCGAACGGACGAGAAGCUUGCUUCUCUGAUGUUAGCGGCGGACGGGUGAGUAACACGUGGAUAACCUACCUAUAAGACUGGGAUAACUUCGGGAAACCGUAGCUAAUACCGGAUAAUAUUUUGAACCGCAUGGUUCAAAAGUGAAAGACGGUCUUGCUGUCACUUAUAGAUGGAUCCGCGCUGCAUUAGCUAGUUGGUAAGGUAACGGCUUACCAAGGCAACGAUGCAUAGCCGACCUGAGAGGGUGAUCGGCCACACUGGAACUGAGACACGGUCCAGACUCCUACGGGAGGCAGCAGUAGGGAAUCUUCCGCAAGGGGCGAAAGCCUGACGGAGCAACGCCGCGUGAGUGAUGAAGGUCUUCGGAUCGUAAAACUCUGUUAUUAGGGAAGAACAUAUGUGUAAGUAACUGUGCACAUCUUGACGGUACCUAAUCAGAAAGCCACGGCUAACUACG